Molecule: ribosomal RNA, 506 nt
Filed under: uncultured bacterium
Lineage: Bacteria
Description: partial 16S ribosomal RNA
Rfam family: Bacterial small subunit ribosomal RNA
Source: RNAcentral
AGUGAACGCUGGCGGUAGGCCUAACACAUGCAAGUCGAACGGCAGCACAGAGGAGCUUGCUCCUUGGGUGGCGAGUGGCGGACGGGUGAGGAAUACAUCGGAAUCUACUCUGUCGUGGGGGAUAACGUAGGGAAACUUACGCUAAUACCGCAUACGACCUACGGGUGAAAGCAGGGGAUCUUCGGACCUUGCGCGAUUGAAUGCGCCGAUGUCGGAUUAGCUAGUUGGCGGGGUAAAGGCCCACCAAGGCGACGAUCCGUAGCUGGUCUGAGAGGAUGAUCAGCCACACUGGAACUGAGACACGGUCCAGGCUCCUACGGGAGGCAGCAGUGGGGAAUAUUGGACAAUGGGCGCAAGCCUGAUCCAGCCAUACCGCGUGGGUGAAGAAGGCCUUCGGGUUGUAAAGCCCUUUUGUUGGGAAAGAAAUCCAUCUGGUUAAUACCCGGGUGGGAUGACGGUACCCAAAGAAUAAGCACCGGCUAACUUCGUGCCAGCAGCCGCCGUAA